Molecule: ribosomal RNA, 301 nt
Filed under: uncultured bacterium
Lineage: Bacteria
Description: partial 16S ribosomal RNA
Rfam family: Bacterial small subunit ribosomal RNA
Source: RNAcentral
CAGCCGCCACGGUAAUACGGAGGGGGCUAGCGUUGUUCGGAAUUACUGGGCGUAAAGCGCACGUAGGCGGCUUUGUAAGUUAGAGGUGAAAGCCUGGGGCUCAACUCCAGAAUUGCCUUUAAGACUGCAUCGCUUGAACGUCGGAGAGGUGAGUGGAAUUCCGAGUGUAGAGGUGAAAUUCGUAGAUAUUGGGAAGAACACCAGUGGCGAAGGCGGCUCACUGGACCGACACUGACGCUGAGGCGCGAAAGCGUGGGGAGCAAACAGGAUUAGAUACCCGAGUAGUCCCUGUCUCUUAUAC